Euleptes europaea (tarantolino) is the source of this 199-nucleotide long non-coding RNA. RefSeq lists it as uncharacterized. NCBI's taxonomy places the organism in Eukaryota, Metazoa, Chordata, Lepidosauria, Squamata, Sphaerodactylidae. The record is from RefSeq and is a predicted model, not a curated record. The transcript is spliced from 3 exons.
UUUGAACCGCCGUCGCCAUGCCGAAGCUGAGCAAAGAGGCGAAGCAGCGGCUGCAGCACCUCUUCCAAGGCGGGCAGUUCGCUAUCCGGCUUUAAGAGAGGUGCAGAUCCUGGAAUGCCUGAACCAUCCCUUCUAAGUUUGCUUUGGGGAUGAAGGAUUUAACCAUUAUAUUCUGGAAGUAUCCUCUGAACAAAUAAAG